GAUGAACGCUGGCGGCGUGCCUAAUACAUGCAAGUCGAGCGAACGGACGAGAAGCUUGCUUCUCUGAUGUUAGCGGCGGACGGGUGAGUAACACGUGGAUAACCUACCUAUAAGACUGGGAUAACUUCGGGAAACCGUAGCUAAUACCGGAUAAUAUUUUGAACCGCAUGGUUCAAUAGUGAAAGACGGUCUUGCUGUCACUUAUAGAUGGAUCCGCGCUGCAUUAGCUAGUUGGUAAGGUAACGGCUUACCAAGGCAACGAUGCAUAGCCGACCUGAGAGGGUGAUCGGCCACACUGGAACCGAGACACGGUCCAGACUCCUACGGGAGGCAGCAGUAGGGAAUCUUCCGCAAUGGGCGAAAGCCUGACGGAGCAACGCCGCGUGAGUGAUGAAGGUCUUCGGAUCGUAAAACUCUGUUAUUAGGGAAGAACAUAUGUGUAAGUAACUGUGCACAUCUUGACGGUACCUAAUCAGAAAGCCACGGCUAACUACGUG
Molecule: ribosomal RNA, 497 nt
Filed under: uncultured bacterium
Lineage: Bacteria
Description: partial 16S ribosomal RNA
Rfam family: Bacterial small subunit ribosomal RNA
Source: RNAcentral